Mercurialis annua (annual mercury) is the source of this 302-nucleotide long non-coding RNA. RefSeq lists it as uncharacterized. The transcript is spliced from 3 exons. The record is from RefSeq and is a predicted model, not a curated record. Lineage: Eukaryota; Viridiplantae; Streptophyta; Magnoliopsida; Malpighiales; Euphorbiaceae.
CGGAGGUCGAAAUCAAUUCUGUUUGUUUCCCGUGAAAGUAGACUCACGCAUCUACGUUUCUACACCUUUCGUUCGUCAAACGACCCGUCGACUGCUCGUGCUUCGGAGUCUACGCAGGGUUAGCUGUUUGCCAAGAUCACGUGGAUAAGCAAGCAGUUUAUGAUUUGAAAGCCGGUCCACUCCGAUUCUUUUGAUUCCUCGGAGGUUUUUAUGUUAUUAAACUAGUUUCUAUUUUCGAACUCUUAGACCGCAGUAGAGCUAGUUUAUAUAUUACAUUUGUUAUUGCAUUGGGAUUAUCGAUU